RNAcentral lists this ribosomal RNA (404 nucleotides) under uncultured bacterium. Its description in RNAcentral is "bacterial SSU rRNA". It matches the Rfam family "Bacterial small subunit ribosomal RNA", at positions 355 to 776 of the family's 1533-position model. The record is from RNAcentral.
UAGGGAAUCUUGGACAAUGGGCGCAAGCCUGAUCCAGCCAUGCCGCGUGAGUGAAGAAGGCCUUAGGGUCGUAAAGCUCUUUCGCCUGUGAUGAUAAUGACAGUAGCAGGUAAAGAAACCCCGGCUAACUCCGUGCCAGCAGCCGCGGUAAUACGGAGGGGGUUAGCGUUGUUCGGAAUUACUGGGCGUAAAGCGCGCGUAGGCGGAUUGGAAAGUUAGAGGUGAAAUCCCGGGGCUCAACCCCGGAACGGCCUUUAAAACUCCCAGUCUAGAGUUCGAGAGAGGUGAGUGGAAUUCCAAGUGUAGAGGUGAAAUUCGUAGAUAUUUGGAGGAACACCAGUGGCGAAGGCGGCUCACUGGCUCGAUACUGACGCUGAGGUGCGAAAGUGUGGGGAGCAAACAGG